GGGCGUGGCAGACUUCUCUGUGGUCUCCGAUGUUACGAAUGUGAAGAGAAAUCUGCUGGACAGGGCCAGGAGCUGUUUGGGUAUACGUGGUUUUAAUAUGAGUCGAGAGGAUGUGGAGAUAGUGGGCAACAUGGUCUGCACUCUGGACAGCUCAUACAUCGAGAACUCUGAUUCAAGCAUCCUGGAAAAACUGACAACCUGCCCAUCCCUCUCUGACAGCCAGGUGGCUGCUGUGGAAACACAGCUGCUCUCUGGGAAAACAAAAUACGGCAAUGUCAACAGUUGGAACACACAGACUUUAGAAGAACUUGGGAAUCUACCUCUGUUCUUCACAGGACAAAUUUGGGCGCACAUCGAAAAACGGAGUACAAAAAGAAUUUUAAA
Molecule: long non-coding RNA, 384 nt
Organism: Thalassophryne amazonica
Lineage: Eukaryota; Metazoa; Chordata; Actinopteri; Batrachoidiformes; Batrachoididae
Exons: 6
Source: RefSeq, a predicted model, not a curated record